RNAcentral lists this ribosomal RNA (301 nucleotides) under uncultured bacterium. RNAcentral describes it as "partial 16S ribosomal RNA". It matches the Rfam family "Bacterial small subunit ribosomal RNA", at positions 509 to 807 of the family's 1533-position model. The record is from RNAcentral.
CAGUAGCCGCGGUAAUACAGAGGGUGCGAGCGUUAAUCGGAAUUACUGGGCGUAAAGCGCGCGUAGGUGGUUUGUUAAGUUGGAUGUGAAAGCCCCGGGCUCAACCUGGGAACUGCAUCCAAAACUGGCAAGCUAGAGUACGGUAGAGGGUGGUGGAAUUUCCUGUGUAGCGGUGAAAUGCGUAGAUAUAGGAAGGAACACCAGUGGCGAAGGCGACCACCUGGACUGAUACUGACACUGAGGUGCGAAAGCGUGGGGAGCAAACAGGAUUAGAUACCCGCGUAGUCCCUGUCUCUUAUAC